This 1937-nucleotide long non-coding RNA is filed under the name Brassica rapa (field mustard). RNAcentral's name for it is "long non-coding RNA (BRAP_LNC007366)". Lineage: Eukaryota; Viridiplantae; Streptophyta; Magnoliopsida; Brassicales; Brassicaceae. The record is from RNAcentral.
ACUCCCAGAGUUAUUUGCAAAGUUAGAAUAUCUAAAUUAUGAUUGUCACAGUAGUCAUUAAGUUCAUGCCUUGUCAAGCACGCUAUCCAACGUUGCUGUAGUACGUACUCGGCCUUUUCGUUUACUAGAGCAUUAAACGUAGCUGCAAUAAGAGUUAAAAGAAUAAAUGAAAAUUUGAAAGGAAUGAACAAAACAAGAAAAAACAUAAUAUGAAUACAACAAUACAAAUAAUGGAUUUUACAACCCCAAUAAAUUAUUUAAUGCCUUUAAUUCCUUUAUAAUAUGUAAAACAACCCAAUAAUAUCAUAGACUACAACACCCUAUAUCACAAUUAUUCCUUACUCAAUAGCAUAACUAUAAGAAAAUAAAUCAAAUAAUCAAUGGAAAACAGAAUAAAAACAAAGCCUCAGUUAGUCCAUUAGAUUCAAAGAAAUUGCAGUUUCUGCCAAGGGAUUCUCCCUGAAAACAGGGUCUCAGCUCCACUGCACCUCGCUUAAUUGGAUUUCCUCAUCGGCAUCAAAACAAACUUAUUCAAGAAUUUUUUCCUUAAAUCAGAUAUACAAAAAUACAAUUUAAAACAAAAAACCAAAACAGUCGUCCUAAGGAUUAAUAGUGAGCAUUAAACUAUUACACCCAUUAUGCUUUAAUUGCUUAUGCGCUUUACUAGCAAUCUAAAUUAAACGAUCAGUUACAGAGUUACACUCAUAGAAUUCAAAAGGCACCCUAGAGAUCUAGAUUCACUAUAAAACUAUCGACAUCUCUUCAUAAAAAACAAAAAAACCCUCAAAAAUAAAGCAAAAUGUCUACUGAAAACAGUUUAUCUGUAAUAGAAUCUCUACCUCAUGAACUCCUUGCUGAAAUUCUUGCCCGGGUUGCUUCAUCUUCUGUUGAAGAUAUAAGCCACUGCUUAACAGUCUCACGGACGAUCUCUUCCGCCGUGCAAGAUGAUCACGUCAUCAAAUGUCUCAACCUCCGUCCACAGGCGAUGAAUCCCAUGCUAACGUUUCAUCGUUACCAGCAUCUUAUGGUGAAGGCUCUCAACAGCAACAAUCCGGCUGCUCAUUACACUGAAGGCAUCAAGCAGUUAUUCGCCUACAACAACAUGACUGUUGGGUUACUUCAUCUAAAAAAAUCAUCUGAAGGUUCCUAUGACAAUGGUACCUAUCUCUAUGGCAUCAUUGUUUCAUGCAUGGGAAACAUUGAAGAAGGAAAAACUAUUUUAGGUACCUUACGGUGGGAGGCAAGCAGACGUCGAACAAACCGUGCUUGGAGAGAAGUGAAGAGGUCACUGAGGUUUGUUUAUGUCAUUUUGAAGCCUGAGUACAGAGCCAGUUUGAAGAACAAUCAGCCACCGCUCACCUGCCACAAGAACGACAAGGACAACAUCUGUCCAAGCUGUUUCCACUACAAAAUGAUGCGGAGAUUUGUCGGAUUCGUUAGGCAAAAUAUCUAAGAAAGACAAAAUUGGUAUCAAGUGUGUAAAGAAGCUACGGGAUAACCACUAUCAACGUUGCGCACAUGCGAGACUCUUUAUUUCGAUUUAGCAUUUGCAUUUCUUUUCCAGCUUUUGAUUACAUUUCGAAUUAUGUUUAAGUUUUCUUUUUUUAAAAACACUUUCUCAUUUUUAAAAUCUCCUAAAGAAAAGACAUUAGAGAAAAAAAAAAAAGCAACCGUUUGACCUCCAUAACCCAGCUCAAUAACCAAAUCGAUUCAAUACAAAGCUAAACUUAACCAUCACAAAUCAGACCAUGCAAAGGUCAAAAGACCCAGCAAAAAAAAAAAAAAAAACUCAUACCGGACGAUGGAGAGAGAUCGUACUGGUCGGAGCGAGAUGUGUUCGGAUUGGAUCCAUCCCCACUAAAGAAAUAUCGGUGAUAAUGAACUCAACCCUAGCUCCGGCGAAAAUUCUCAGAUCGAUCCUCUCCUUCUCCUUCUCC